This 392-nucleotide ribosomal RNA is filed under the name uncultured bacterium. RNAcentral's name for it is "bacterial SSU rRNA". It matches the Rfam family "Bacterial small subunit ribosomal RNA", at positions 29 to 446 of the family's 1533-position model. The record is from RNAcentral.
AACGAACGCUGGCGGCAGGCUUAACACAUGCAAGUCGAACGGUUGUAGCAAUACAGCAGUGGCGCACGGGUGAGUAAUACGUGGGAACGUACCUUUCAGUCGGGAAUAACAGCGGGAAACUGCUGCUAAUACUCGAUAUUCUCUAUGGAGGAAAGAUUUAUCGCUGAGAAAUCGGCCCACGUCAGAUUAGCUAGUUGGUGAGGUAAUGGCUCACCAAGGCUACGAUCUGUAGCUGGUCUGAGAGGAUGACCAGCCACACUGGAACUGAGACACGGUCCAGACUCCUACGGGAGGCAGCAGUGGGGAAUAUUGGACAAUGGGCGAAAGCCUGAUCCAGCCAUGCCGCGUGAGUGAUGAAGGCCUUAGGGUUGUAAAGCUCUUUUAUCAGGGAA